This is a long non-coding RNA of Oreochromis aureus, 505 nucleotides long. The record is from Ensembl. Lineage: Eukaryota; Metazoa; Chordata; Actinopteri; Cichliformes; Cichlidae.
UAAACUUUUAAGAUAUUUUCAGGCGAGAAUGUAGCUGUGUAAAUUUCAAAUAUCUGCUCGAUUUAUCAAGACAUCACAUAUUUGCAAAAAUGCUCCGACGUUUUCGGAGACGUUUUUUUUUUUUUUUUUUUCAUGCUUUGUGGCAGCUUUAGAACAUCUGUGGCAUCUAUUAAUGUCAAAUCUAGCCUUUAUUUAACAACAUAAGCAAACUCUAUGUUACAAUGGUUGCACAGCCAUUAAGGAUCAAAUCAGUUUCUGAAAAAUGUUCUGUUUUUUCUCCCUCUGCUUGCUUCUUACUGUCUUUGAGGCUCGGGACCAGCACUCCUGUUGUUGGACAGAAAGACAUCAACUCAGUGACUUGAGAUAUGACUGCACUAUGCUGUUGCUGGUGACCACAGUUAAUUCUACAAGACAUGCUGUGACAACAGGAGAGAUGAGUCCUCCGUCACAGAUGGUGUGGUCAGUGAAGAUGGUCGCCUGCAGGUUCAAGCUCAUUGCAUCUCCA